RNAcentral lists this ribosomal RNA (497 nucleotides) under uncultured bacterium. RNAcentral's name for it is "partial 16S ribosomal RNA". It matches the Rfam family "Bacterial small subunit ribosomal RNA", at positions 28 to 507 of the family's 1533-position model. The record is from RNAcentral.
GAUGAACGCUGGCGGUGUGCCUAAUACAUGCAAGUCGAGCGAACGGACGAGGAGCUUACUCCUCUGAUGUUAGCGGCGGACGGGUGAGUAACACGUGGAUAACCUACCUAUAAGACUGGGAUAACUUCGGGAAACCGGAGCUAAUACCGGAUAAUAUUUUGAACCGCAUGGUUCAAAAGUGAAAGACGGUCUUGCUGUCACUUAUAGAUGGAUCCGCGCUGCAUUAGCUAGUUGGUAAGGUAACGGCUUACCAAGGCAACGAUGCAUAGCCGACCUGAGAGGGUGAUCGGCCACACUGGAACUGAGACACGGUCCAGACUCCUACGGGAGGCAGCAGUAGGGAAUCUUCCGCAAUGGGCGAAAGCCUGACGGAGCAACGCCGCGUGAGUGAUGAAGGUCUUCGGAUCGUAAAACUCUGUUAUUAGGGAAGAACAUAUGUGUAAGUAACUGUGCACAUCUUGACGGUACCUAAUCAGAAAGCCACGGCUAACUACGUG